Harpia harpyja (harpy eagle) is the source of this 448-nucleotide long non-coding RNA. RefSeq lists it as uncharacterized. The transcript is spliced from 4 exons. The record is from RefSeq and is a predicted model, not a curated record. NCBI's taxonomy places the organism in Eukaryota, Metazoa, Chordata, Aves, Accipitriformes, Accipitridae.
UUAAACAUUUUUGAAGUGUACGUGAUUUGUAUAUCGCAAUUAUAAGUAAUUUUCUUUUUCUUGUUUUCCUCCAGAAUGUAGAAGAACAAAGGUAGGAUAUUACUCACAAUAACAAGCUACUGUGUUAUGCACAAACACUGUAGGCUCCAGCAGUCUUCUUUCCAGUGUCCAUCAACAGUCUCCUGUUGCAUCCCAAGCCCCAUUCCCAUGCUUUAAGCAGAGUCUCGCCUUAUUCCCAGCCAUUGAGGUGACACCUGGACUGCAGGGGCAGUUGGUACUGAAACUUCAGAACUGAGAUCGCCCUGGUCAUGGUUACGAUGCUGGAGGGACAUCAGUAAGCCUUUAUGACUUUUCAAGCCCUUUUGGCACCACUCCUUGGCUUGUAGGAAUUUAGAAGCUGGUUUCCAUGAUUUUUUUAUGUUGGGAUUUUAAAUUAAUUUUCGACAAA